Molecule: ribosomal RNA, 468 nt
Filed under: uncultured bacterium
Lineage: Bacteria
Description: partial 16S ribosomal RNA
Rfam family: Bacterial small subunit ribosomal RNA
Source: RNAcentral
GACGAACGCUGGCGGCGUGCUUAACACAUGCAAGUCGAACGGAAAGGCCCUGCUUUUGUGGGGUGCUCGAGUGGCGAACGGGUGAGUAACACGUGAGUAACCUGCCCUUGACUUUGGGAUAACUUCAGGAAACUGGGGCUAAUACCGGCUAGGAGCUCCUGCUGCAUGGUGGGGGUUGGACAGUUUCGGCGGUUGGGGAUGGACUCGCGGCUUAUCAGCUUGUUGGUGGGGUAGUGGCUUACCAAGGCUUUGACGGGUAGCCGGCCUGAGAGGGUGACCGGCCACAUUGGGACUGAGAGACGGCCCAGACUGCAACGGGAGGCAGCAGUGGAGAAUAUUGCACAAUGGGCGGAAGCCUGAUGCAGCAACGCCGCGUGCGGGAUGACGGCCUUCGGGUUGUAAACCGCUUUAGCCUGUGACGAAGCGUGAGUGACGGUAAUGGGUAAAGAAGCACCGGCUAACUACGUG